UGUGCAGCCCCCCAAAAAAACAAAAAAAAAAACAAAGUUUGGCAUCAAAAAUUGGCGUUUUCUAUUGUUUUGCAAUAAAUGUAGUUGGAAAAGACACUUAUUUGCCAGGAACAAAAAUCGUGUUUUGAAUAAUCAGCAGCUGGAAUGUGUUGCACCACAUUGCGCCGCUAUU
Thalassophryne amazonica is the source of this 172-nucleotide long non-coding RNA. RefSeq lists it as uncharacterized. NCBI's taxonomy places the organism in Eukaryota, Metazoa, Chordata, Actinopteri, Batrachoidiformes, Batrachoididae. The record is from RefSeq and is a predicted model, not a curated record. The transcript has 3 exons.